Non-coding RNA from Rhopilema esculentum, 4196 nucleotides. NCBI's taxonomy places the organism in Eukaryota, Metazoa, Cnidaria, Scyphozoa, Rhizostomeae, Rhizostomatidae. The record is from RefSeq and is a predicted model, not a curated record.
UCUAUAUAACUUAUUUUUACUAUACAUGCAUACAUUUCUAAAGGGUACGUUUAUGAUUUGACUUUUGCCUUUUUAGCAGCAUUUGUAACUUACCUUAACAGCAUUUGUGACCAAUGCCACUUGCGACGUAACUGCAUAACAUGCCAACACAUCAUAGACGGUACUGCUACAUUUAAUUUUACUAACACUGACAAAAACUACUACAUAAAACAAAGACUGGAUUGCAACUCUAAUAACGUUAUUUACGCAUUACAAUGCAAAAGAUGUUUAACAUACUAACGAAAACAAGAACUGCCAAUACAUCGGACAAACAAGCAGACGACUGAAAGACAGAUUUAACGAACAUAGACGAGACAUUAUCAACAAAAAAGUAGACAAGUCCGGUGUUGCAGAACACUUUUGCAGCCCAGAACAUACCAUCAAUGACCUUACAAUAACCCUAUUAUUGCAACAAAAAGCCAAAUAGAGAGUGUUCGAGCCAAAGAGCAAUACCUCAUUGGCUUGGCAAACACUCUCACACCGAACGGCAUGAACCGAACCACUGACCGUUAAUCUUACAGCAACACACUAUAAUCAUCCAUAUCGUCACUUUUUCUACUACCCAUACAUUACUAUUUUACAAUCAUCACCAUUACUCUCUACAUUCUCGUUAUAAUUUUCUUUUUUCCGUUUAUUUAAUUUUUCAUCUUUUACUACCAUUGUCGAAUCGAGACGCAGUGGCUGGGUGGUUGAAGGACUAUAGAUUCUGUGAGGCAUCAAAUUUUUGGAAAACUUUCUGAAAUGUGCAUGGAAAUUGAAAUAAAUUGUACCACCAUCCCCAUCCCUUAGCUUGUUAAUUGGUCUUUAAUAGUCUUGAAUUAAAAAAUCCUGCUUUACACAUCAAAACAUAUAUAGAAAUAUGAAUAUGUGAAAUGAACCUUCUUUCAAUAAGUAAUAAUUGCUGCAAAUUAGAUGAAUAUUUGAUGAAAUGUCAUUAAUUGAUAGCACACUGAUUUCAAAAGAGGGAUUGAGUUGUUCCAGCUACUCCAUUGGAUCCAUACACAAUCUUCUUCGUCGCACCAGCAAUGGAAUUGGAUUGUAUUCAUCAGUGAUUAUCAGCAUCAUGUGAGAAUCUGUGGGCAGACUCGCCUUGGAAGAGAAUGUGACGAAGGUGAACAAAACAUGGGUUGUGCUUUGCGUUUGAUGAGACAAAAAGCUAUAAAUUUAAAGUAGGACAUCGCUGUUGGAUCUAGAGGCAUGUUACUUUGCAAUCAAUAAUUCAUGAUCAAUACAAUCGAAAGCUUUCAAUGGGUAAACCAACAGAGCACCGGCAUAUCUUCAAUGGUAUCCUACAGCUAACUACAAACUGCAUAAGAUCACAUUGGGUACUAGACCAUACCUUGCUCAUACCUCUAGAUUCUAUGAUCGAGCAAAAUAUUUUCGAUAUAGAAACCUUUAACCAGUCUGAACGUCCAACUAAAUUCUUCCCAACAGGCUACAUGUCCAACCAUAAAAUUUCGUUAAGAAUUUCCUCAGGUCUUCGGGACCGCGAAUUCAAAUGACUAAUUAAAUAUUGGGAAACCCUAUUCUAAUAUUGAAUAUAAGAACAUCUAUAUAACUUAUUUUUACCAUACGUGCAUACAUUUCUAAAGGGUACGUUUGUGAUUUGACUUUUGUCUUUUUAACAGCAUUUGUAACUCAUAGCUUUAAUUUUUCAUGCUAAGAUACUCCUUUGAUUUGAAAGAAAGGUUGUAAAAAUAUUUUGGUAAGUUUCCCAGUAGUAAAGAUUUCCGAAGAAAACUCUGUCGAAUCAAGACGCAGUGGCUGGGUUGUUGGAGGACUAAAGAUUCUGUGAGGCAUCAAAUUUUUGGAAAGCUUUCUGAAAUGUGCAUGGAAAUUGAAAUAAAUUGUACCACCAUCCCCAUCCCUUAGCUUGUCAAUUGGUCUUUAAUGGUCUUGAAUUAAAAAAUCCUGCUAUACACAUCAAAGCCUGUAUAGAAAUAUGAAUAUGUAAAUUGAACCUUCUGAUGAAUAUAUAUGAAUAUGUAAAUUGCUGCAAAUUAGAUGAAUAUAUAAUGAGAAAUCAUUAAUUAAUAGCACAAGGAUUUCGAAACAGCGAUUGAUUUGCUCCAGCUACUUCAUUGGAUCCAUACACAAUUUUCUUCGUCGCACCAGCAAUGGAAUUGGAUUGUAUUCAUCAGUGAUUCUCAGAAUCUGUGGGCAGACUCGCCUUGGAAGAGAAUGUGACGAAGCUGAACAAAACAUGGGUUGUGCUUUGCGUUUGAUAUUUCUGCUGCUCCUUUGGUUGCAUGUGAGCCUGGGGUACAUAUUGAGGCUGCCUUGCAAGACGUAUGGAAACUUCAGCGUUGAAAAAUCAGGCUUUAUGCUUGAUGGACAUGUGUUAGCAUCAUUGGAAGUAUCGACUGUCGAAUUAUGCGAACAGCAUUGCUUGUAUCAUCAAAGCUGCAGCUCAAUUAACUGGAAGACACCAGCAUCUGGGUCUGCUAAUUGCCAGAUCAAUGAAAAAUCAACAGAAAACUCGGAUGACAACGUAAGGUUAUCUCCUUCAUCUGAAUGGACCUACAAAACAACAGAUUAUAGAAACAGAAACGUGGGUGAAUUGUGUCGAGGCAGGAAUCCUUGCCCUAUCGGACAUAGGUGUACAGAUUCCUGCAGCUGUCCAGGAUUCCAAUGCCAACACGUAACAACAGACCAGAAAAGGCUUCAAUCGAACAAACAUAAUAAUUUCCUGUUCGUUUAACAAAAGCAAGAAGUUGCAAGGAUCUUUACGCACUUGGCUUCAGAAAAAGUACGAGAUAUGACAUCUAUCGACCAGAAAUUGGAAUUUUCCCAGUCAGAUGCGACAUGGCAACCGACGGAGGAGGUUGGAUUGUGUUCCAGCGUCGUGUUGAUGCCAGUGUGGAUUUCUUUCGAGAUUGGGAUGCCUACAAGCAAGGCUUUGGGGAUAUGGACGGAAACUUCUGGUUGGGGCUUGAAAAACUGCACAAGCUAGCCGCUCCAGGAAAGGGGGCCAUUCUUCGGGUUGACUUAAAGCACAUGGAUUUUGCAGACAAAAAGUAUGCAAAGUACAGCUUAUUUGAGAUUUCAGGAGAAUCGGAUGGGUAUCGUCUGAAGGUGGGAGGCUACUCUGGAGAUGCUGGUGAUUCUCUGAUUUACCAUAACGACAUGAAGUUUUCAACAAAGGACAAGGAUCAUGAUAAUCUACAUAAUGGCAAUUGUGCACUAGCACAUGCUGGUGCUUGGUGGAGACAAAAAGCUAUACAUUUAAAGUAGGACAUCGCUGUUGGAUCUAGAGGCAUGUUACUUUGCAAUCAAUAAUUCAUGAUCAAUACAAUCGAAAGCUUUCAAUGGAUAAACCAACAGAGCACCGGCAUAUCUUCAAUGGUAUCCUACAGCUAACUACAAACCGCAUGAGAUCACAUUAGCACAAGGAUUUCAAAACAGCGAUUGAUUUGUUCCCGCUACUUCAUUGGAUCCAUACACAAUCUUCUUCGUCGCACCAGCAAUGGAAUUGGAUUGUAUUCAUCAAUGAUUCUCAGCAUCAUGAAGAAGUGGGCAGACUCGCCUUGGAAGAGAAUGUGACGAAGGUGAACAAAACAUGGGUUGUGCUUUGCGUUUGAUAUUUCUGCUGCUCCUUUGGUUGCAUGUGAGCCUGGGGUACAUAUUGAGGCUGCCUUGCAAGACGUAUGGAAACUUCAGCGUUGAAAAAUCAGGCUUUAUGCUUGAUGGACAUGUGUUAGCAUCAUUGGAAGUAUCGACUGUCGAAUUAUGCGAACAGCAUUGCUUGUAUCAUCAAAGCUGCAGCUCAAUUAACUGGAAGACACCAGCAUCUGGGUCUGCUAAUUGCCAGAUCAAUGAAAAAUCAACAGAAAACUCGGAUGACAACGUAAGGUUAUCUCCUUCAUCUGAAUGGACCUACAAAACAACAGAUUAUAGAAACAGAAACGUGGGUGAAUUGUGUCGAGGCAGGAAUCCUUGCCCUAUCGGACAUAGGUGUACAGAUUCCUGCAGCUGUCCAGGAUUCCAAUGCCAACACGUAACAACAGACCAGAAAAGGCUUCAAUCGAACAAACAUAAUAAUUUCCUGUUCGUUUAACAAAAGCAAGAAGUUGCAAGGAUCUUUACGCACUUGGCUUCAGAAAAAGUACGAGAUAUGACAUCUAUCGACCAGAAAUUGGAAUUUUCCCAGUCAGAUG